This 570-nucleotide long non-coding RNA is filed under the name Homo sapiens (human). RNAcentral describes it as "non-protein coding lnc-DCHS2-1:1". Lineage: Eukaryota; Metazoa; Chordata; Mammalia; Primates; Hominidae. The record is from RNAcentral.
UAAAUGUUUGUCAAGCUGUACUGCUGAGGGGAUACCAGGUGUAACUAGAUUUUUCCCUUUAAGCUGACAAUGGCACCAUGCAUCUUUGGGACUGGAGAACUGGCUACAAUUUUCAGAGAGUUCACGCAGCUGUGCAACCUGGGUCUUUGGACAGUGAAUCAGGAAUAUUUGCUUGUGCUUUUGAUCAGUCUGAAAGUCGAUUACUAACAGCUGAAGCUGAUAAAACCAUUAAAGUAUACAGAGAGGAUGACACAGCCACAGAAGAAACUCAUCCAGUCAGCUGGAAACCAGAAAUUAUCAAGAGAAAGAGAUUUUAAUGAAUGUGGAAUUUUUUCUCUCUCUUUUUUUUUCUUUUUAAUUAAAAAAAAAAAAGCUUGGCGUUCAUGAGGAUAUCCAGUCAUUUUGUGCUCUGGCUGGGAAUAUAAAGGAGAAAUUCACUUGCUUCAAUCAUUGCUGCUUCAUAUUUUACAAUAAACUGUCCCCUGUCCCCUACCCCUGUGUUUUUAUUUCUAAAACAAUUUGUGAUACUAGGAAGAUGCAGAUAUCAAGUAAAUGCAGGUUUAUUGAACA